Molecule: non-coding RNA, 90 nt
Organism: Mycena vitilis
Lineage: Eukaryota; Fungi; Basidiomycota; Agaricomycetes; Agaricales; Mycenaceae
Source: the annotation of a GenBank genome assembly
GGCUCUGUGGCGGAUGGUCCGCGUCUGUAACCCGUGCCGUCUGUCGUGAAAGUUAAGCAGAAGACGCUCGUUCGAAUCGAGCCAGAGCCA